UAUUUUCUUCCUUUAAGAACCAAGGGGAUGUGCUUUCGAAUGGACCCAAGAAUCCACCAAUCUGCUCCCAAGGGGACAUCUUCAUUUGUAUGGGACAAACAUCACAGUAAUUCAUGAAGUUUAAAGUUUGAAGCCUGAUCCUCAAUCUGGAUUAGAAUGUCUGCUGAGACAGGGUACAAAGGAAUAUUGACCUGCCAAUGUGGAAAAGUGUUGCAGAGAAAAGGCAAAAACCAAAACUGAAUAGGGAAGAAGAUGGACAUUCAAUGAAACUGGAGUAUUCCAUAUGUUUUGAUGAAAGGACCAGAGCUAAACAAAAAAUUUGACCUCUAAAUAUAGAACUCAAGAGAAACAAAAAG
Sarcophilus harrisii (Tasmanian devil) is the source of this 356-nucleotide long non-coding RNA. RefSeq lists it as uncharacterized. NCBI's taxonomy places the organism in Eukaryota, Metazoa, Chordata, Mammalia, Dasyuromorphia, Dasyuridae. The record is from RefSeq and is a predicted model, not a curated record. The transcript has 4 exons.